RNAcentral lists this ribosomal RNA (484 nucleotides) under uncultured bacterium. Its description in RNAcentral is "partial 16S ribosomal RNA". It matches the Rfam family "Bacterial small subunit ribosomal RNA", at positions 30 to 507 of the family's 1533-position model. The record is from RNAcentral.
AUUGAACGCUGGCGGCAGGCCUAACACAUGCAAGUCGAGCGGAUGAAGGGAGCUUGCUCCUGGAUUCAGCGGCGGACGGGUGAGUAAUGCCUAGGAAUCUGCCUGGUAGUGGGGGAUAACGUCCGGAAACGGGCGCUAAUACCGCAUACGUCCUGAGGGAGAAAGUGGGGGAUCUUCGGACCUCACGCUAUCAGAUGAGCCUAGGUCGGAUUAGCUAGUUGGUGGGGUAAAGGCCUACCAAGGCGACGAUCCGUAACUGGUCUGAGAGGAUGAUCAGUCACACUGGAACUGGGACAAGGUCCAGACUCCUACGGGAGGCAGCAGUGGGGAAUAUUGGACAGUGGGCGAAAGCCUGAUCCAGCCAUGCCGCGUGUGUGAAGAAGGUCUUCGGAUUGUAAAGCACUUUAAGUUGGGAGGAAGGGCAGUAAGUUAAUACCUUGCUGUUUUGACGUUACCAACAGAAUAAGCACCGGCUAACUUCGUG